AUGCACGCGUUUCAGCAGUUCUACCACCUGGCCGGGCAGAAUUUUGGGGCUCUCAACACUACGAUCAUCGCGCUCAUCCCCAAGAAAGACGGAGCAAGCUACAUUGUUGACUACAGACCAAUUAGCCUGAUCCAUUCAAUUGCGAAGUUGAUCUCCAAAGUUCUCUCGCUCCGUCUAGCCUCUGUGGUGCAAUCUAUAAUCUCGCCCGCACAGACGGCUUUCCUGAAGACCAGAUGCCUGCACGACAGCUUUGUAUACGUCCAAAACUGCGUCAAGAGCCUGCACCGCAGUAAAACACCGGCGGUCCUCCUGAAACUUGACAUCUCGAGAGCCUUUGACAAUGUCUCCUGGGAGUAUCUACUAGAGUUGCUCACAAGACUAGGGUUGAGUGCAUGCUGGUGGGAUUGGAUUUCGCUCCUCCUCGCCACCUCAUCAUCGGCCAUCCUCCUCAACGGGUCACCAGGCGCGCGCAUCCUCCAUCGACGGGGCCUCAGACAGGGAGACCCACUGUCCCCCCUCCUCUUCAUAAUCACGAUCGACCCCAUCCAUCGCCUGCUGCAAGCUGCCGAGGAAGCCCUGAGAUCAUGCCAGUUCCUCGUAGGGAGGUAA
This 609-nucleotide ribosomal RNA is filed under the name Triticum aestivum (bread wheat). RNAcentral's name for it is "partial small subunit ribosomal RNA". Lineage: Eukaryota; Viridiplantae; Streptophyta; Magnoliopsida; Poales; Poaceae. The record is from RNAcentral.